GACUCCACCCGCCGCCCCUCCCUUUCCCACGUGCUUCUCAAAUUGCGCAGGCGCUCUCCUUGUCAGAGGCUGAGCCGUGGAGCAGGCGCGGAGGAGUUGCCGGCGGGGCCUUGGGCACGCUUCGGGACGCCAGUGCGCGUGCGCGGGACUAGAGCCACAGUCCUUGGGGGAGCACGGAGAUGGCGGCCGCCGUGGGAUCUUCGUCUGAGCCGGCGGUUUCAGAACAGCCGGCGGAGCUGUCUGCCGCGGUGCGGGCGAGCAUCGAGCGGAAGCGGCAGCGGGCGCUGAUGCUGCGCCAGGCCCGGCUGGCGGCCCGACCUUACCCGGCGACGGCGGCUGCGGCUACCGGAGGUGUGGCUAAUGUAAAAGCAGCCCCGAAGAUAAUUGACACAGGAGGAGGCUUCAUUCUGGAAGAGGAGGAGGAAGAAGAACGUACAAUUGGAAAAGUUGUUCAUCAACCAGGACCUGUAAUGGAAUUUGAUUAUGUUAUAUGUGAAGAAUGUGGUAAAGAAUUUAUGGAUUCUUACCUAAUGAACCACUUUGAUUUGACAACUUGUGAUAACUGCAGAGAUGCUGAUGAUAAACACAAGCUUAUAACUAAAACAGAAGCAAAACAAGAAUACCUUCUGAAAGAUUGUGAUUUAGAAAAAAGAGAACCAGCUCUUAAAUUUAUUGUGAAGAAGAAUCCUCAUCAUGCACAAUGGGGUGAUAUGAAACUCUACUUAAAAUUACAGAUUGUGAAGAGGUCUCUUGAAGUUUGGGGUAGUCAGGAAGCAUUAGAAGAAGCGAAGGAAGUUCAACAGAAAAACCGAGAAAAAAUGAAACAGAAGAAGUUUGAUAAAAAAGUAAAAGAAUUACGGCGAGCAGUAAGAAGCAGUGUAUGGAAAAAGGAGACAGUUGCUCAUCAACAUGAGUAUGGACCAGAAGAAAACCUAGAGGAUGACAUGUACCGGAAGACUUGUACCGCAUGUGGCCAUGAACUGACAUACGAGAAAAUGUGAUCUUUACUCAGUAAAAAGCGAUUCCAAAUGGGCAGCAAGAACUUCUUGGGAAAAAAAAAAAAAAAACACCUUCCCAGCAAGUAACUAGGGGUUCAGGCUGCUGACAACAGCACUACUACAUUGGGAGACAAGAAGCUCUAAAAUCACCACAAGGACGUAGUUUCAGAUUCCACUUACUACCUGUGGACCUUGGGUAAGUUACUCCAUGGGCCUGUUUUUCUGUCAGAUGGGUAUAAUAUAAGGACUUUCAUGAUGAUUAAAUAUGGUGAAUCUAUAGCAUCUGGCACGUAACAGCCAGUUGUUAAUGAGCACAUCAUAUCAUCAAGACCAGUAUAGUUAAUAGACUUUUCCAGUUGAGGUGGGCUUCUAGUCACUCUUCACCUUCAUCAAUUUAGGACAAUCCUGGUAUCCAGCUAUCACUGACAGCCAGAUCUGCUUUACUCAGGUUGCCAAGUUCUGUCCUCAUCUUUCCUUUUCAGGUAUAACUGUAGAUGAGUAAGUUAUACAAGUCGCUGCCAAAUGCUUUCCAGGAAAAGCAAACAAACUUAUCUUCAUAUGAACUGCUUUCUGAAUAAUUUCCUGGGAGAUUGAGAGUUAAGGAAAAGUAUAUGUUCACUUUGACAAACGCAUGUUAAAUGGCAUCAGCACAGUUUAAUAGAAUCGAUUUAUUGCAAGGUAUGACGUACAGUGACAUGCCAUUCUUUUGUCUGUGUGAGCUUCAUUAGUGGGGAGAGCAACUGUUGAAUGUUUGCUCUUGUACCUUUAUUUCUUCAAAAUUCAGUCUCUGAUUCAGUUUUUUCAUAUACCUAGCUGCCAGACUGGGUCAGAGCAGGGUUACAUCAGUGAGCAACUGUUAGAAGCAACCAUUACACAUGAAGAGAUGAAGAGAGGGUCCAAGAGAAAGGAGGUGAAAACCUAGAAAUUCCUCUAGGAUUUGGAUCAACUAGGCUCUCCAAAGAGAAUGGCAAUUAGGAGUCUGAAUGAUACAAAGCCAAUUUAAGCCUAAAUAUUGUGAUGAGCAGCAGCAGGAACAAAUGGACACUGAAGGGCUUACAGGUGCUACAUAAUAACCUCCUGACAGAUUUGAUGACUUUUUAAAAUGGAAAAUCCCUGUGGCU
Molecule: non-coding RNA, 2119 nt
Organism: Kogia breviceps (pygmy sperm whale)
Lineage: Eukaryota; Metazoa; Chordata; Mammalia; Artiodactyla; Physeteridae
Source: RefSeq, a predicted model, not a curated record